AAAUAAUGUCAGUAAAAGUGUUUAUAUCAUUAAAUAAUCAAUAAUAUUGUACAUUCAAAUUUACUUCUUAUUUUUUUUCUUAUUGAAAAUGAGUAUUAAAAUAUCUGCAUUGUCAUCGAGUACGUCUCGUAUUUUUACGACAACUGACCCGUUUCCGAUCUCCAUAGUAACGACAGCGCCUGGAUUUCCCAAAAUGACGAACAACGGAAAGUGGGACGUGCCGAGGGCGGCUUUGCCACUCGCAAACGGAUUUUUUAAAUACAGAAACCAGUCAGAAGCAGAAGUUGAUUAGUGUCUAUUCAAAAACUGGCAGCAGAAUAUGUCUACAAAUGAAGUUUGGGAAGGAACUUUGUAGACUUCUGGAUGUGCUGUAGAGGAGUUCUCAUGAUAAAGACAAAAUAUCAGCAACGAGAGGUUUUUUUAUGGCCAGAGCAUAUGCUACACAUAUACUACAAAUUUUGGCCAUCAAUGGAGAAAACCACUUCAACCAGUACAUAUUUACAUGUACAUGUACUACCAUUCUACCAAAGACUCCGAUUCAUCCAAAAGUAAGAGAGAUAACUGGAAUUAGGACCGGGGGAAACAAAAUGUACCACAAUGACAAAGAGUGAGGUGAAAGCAGUAAACAUAAGGACAGGUCCUACAACCUUUUUGGAUUUUUGUCUACCAAUGACAGUGUGAUGGAACUUGGUUGAAAUAUAAGAUAUUAUUAUGUUCCUGUACUUUUUCAUGCAUUGAUAUACUGUCUUGUGAAAUUAUGGGAAAAAAAUGUCACACAGGUUCAUGGUUUUCUAGAUACUCUUCCAUUAUUUAAACUAGUCAAGUUUUGUCUGAGCUCAUAAAACAACAGUCUGAGCUCAUAAUACAACAUAAAGUUAUUGUUUUAUAUGCUUGUGAUAAAAGUUCAGGUAUAAUAUAAUUUCAUAAAAUUUGUACAAUAUUCAUUUCAAUACAUAUUGUAUAAUUUGGAAAUGUUAUUGGAAUAGUUUUAUUAUUAAACAUGAAAAUUUAGCAGAGAAAAGAUGUUCAGAGGAAAUUUUGGCUGAAUAUUUUCUCAAUAGCUCCACUCUUUUUUCUGAAACUUGGACUCAUUGAUUGAUUGUUAUCGUAUUACAUGUAAAACCUAUGCAUUUUUUGUUUCCAGUACUCUGCAUGUAGUAACAUGUAUUUGACAAGGAUUCAUAUUUCUCAUAUCUGAUUGU
This is a long non-coding RNA of Saccostrea cuccullata (small rock oyster), 1202 nucleotides long. RefSeq lists it as uncharacterized. NCBI's taxonomy places the organism in Eukaryota, Metazoa, Mollusca, Bivalvia, Ostreida, Ostreidae. The record is from RefSeq and is a predicted model, not a curated record. The transcript has 3 exons.